AAAAGCCAAAUAAAACCCAAUCAUAUAAAUCCAAAACAGAAAAAAUCAAAUUUCAAUAAAAUUUGAUCACACCAAGUCUCAUUCAUUAACUCCAAGCAUUAUUUUUUUUCACCCGAACUCAAUCCCAGAUAACCUAUUAAAAAGGAAUCAACACAUAGGAAUUCAAUGACACUUGAAAUGGAAAAGAUUUCUACCAACCUGAUUGAUCAACCGGACAGGAUUCUCUUAUUAUUUGCUGAUUUCUUUCUCCGAAUCUGAUGCUAUGAAAUUGUUUGAAUGUGAAUCGAAUUGCAUAUCAUAGAAAAAAAAAGUAGAAAUGGAUUAGGUGUGACGCGAUCGAGAUAUAAGAGAAAUUGAGGAAUUCUCGAUGCGCAUGGAACUUAUACGAGUAUGAGUGAGUCCGAGUGACUAUCGUUAUUCUAAAU
This 425-nucleotide long non-coding RNA is filed under the name Olea europaea (common olive). RNAcentral describes it as "long non-coding RNA (OEUR_LNC009843)". Lineage: Eukaryota; Viridiplantae; Streptophyta; Magnoliopsida; Lamiales; Oleaceae. The record is from RNAcentral.